This is a non-coding RNA of Rattus norvegicus (Norway rat), 3339 nucleotides long. The record is from RefSeq and is a predicted model, not a curated record. Lineage: Eukaryota; Metazoa; Chordata; Mammalia; Rodentia; Muridae.
UGAGCCUACACACAGAAGGCCUUGCCCAGUUGGAACAUUGCUCUUGGAGUGCGGAGUUGCCACGUAAGUGGUCUGAUACUCUGAAGCCACCAUGUUCUGUGAAGUCCAAGGUCACUCCAACCCACACCAAAUGCCAGCUGAAUCAUCAAGGUUCAGGGGCAGACACUAGAGUGAAGAAACCUUUACAUUUUCCGGGCUCCAGACAGCUGAGUCACGCACUGCCCCUCACCACCUCCCUGCUGGGGCUCCAGACACCAACAUCCAGAAAGAAGCCAUGAGUGUCUCGUCUCCAAAACCCUGACCUACAGAACCUGUGUGGCAAGGAGGGAAGACAGCCAGAGAAGCUGUGCACAGUUCAGUGAGUGGAAAAACAAGAGUUGGAGGCACACAGCCGUUUAUCCAGCUAUCUACCCACUUCUAGAAGAAAUGUCCCACCCAGAUGAGUAAUAACGAAGCCUGUCCUUUGUGUGUCUGCUGUGUGCUAGGGGUUUUAUAUAGAGCACUUCUCCUUCACAAAGCAACCCGAAGUGUGAGAGCGCAUUGCCACACAGCGUGUCAGCGAUUCUCCCAAGCCAUACUCCAGGAGGUGGAGGAGCCAUGGGCUACCUUCUGCUUUGCUUCCAAAGGUUCUGAAACCAGUGUCUUCUCCACAUGAUCUGUGUGAGUCACUUCCCUGUUUCUUUGACAAGAAGCAACUCAAAGGAAGGGAGGGUUUAUUCUGACCAGAUGUUGUCCAUCAUGGGGAAGAGAACAGCAGCAGCUGGCAGGAGCCGAGUCCACUGUAACCACAGUCAGGAGGCAGAGAUGGAUGAAUGACUGGGUUCAGGUCACUUCCUUUUUGGACAUCAGCCCACAGAAUGGCACCGUCCAUACUGAGGGUGAGUCUUCCCAUCUCAAGUAACCGAGUGCAGAAAAUCUCUCACGGGUAUCCCCAGAGACUUGCCUCCAAGGUCCUGUCAGAUCGAUAACAUAAAUUAUUACACUAUCCCAAUCCUGGUUCCUCGAAAAGCUUCAUGGUUCCAUCUCAGGAGCCAGGCGCUGCUACCAGGGGCAUCGAGACCUCCUUCAGAAAACAAAGAACGGCCAUGUUGCCAGAUAAUUUGAGUAGACCGGCCUGAGGCUUCUGUGGGCAGUACCCAAACUGUACUAUGGGCUGAGAAGUCACCCUAGAACCAGGUCAUCUGUGGGAUAUGAAGUAGAAACGGGAAAGGGCUUUGGCAAGCCUGAGCCUAUCCGAAGGUUGGCACCCCUAAAUUAUAAAGCGUGGAAGGGACUAAAGGAGCAGCUGCAACAUGACGCUGUAUAAUUAUUUUAUAUUGGUGAAAUUCCUGCUAAAUUGCCGGCUAAAGCCGAAGCGGAAGAAAACUUUGUAGGUGAGUGUAGAACCCAACGAAGCAUUUUUCAUGGCAAAUAGUUAUUGUCUUAGCCAGGCGGCCGUCCCCAAAAGUCCCCAAAGUAGUCACCUCUUCUGCCAGUUAUGGAGUUUUGAGUCUGGAUUCCUCCGGUUCAUGGGAGAGGCUCUGUGGUCACUAAUGGUAGAUUUCUUUUGUGCAUGGCCAGGUGCCCUGUCAGGACUGGCACCAAGGCAGUAUUUAAAGAUGACUGGAGUGGUCAACCCCAUAACAGAGAGAGAAAUAUCUACUAACAAGGGAGAUUUAUCCAAUUGUUUAAAACUCAUUGCGUGUUCCAUUAAAGGGAAAAGCUUGGUCUGGAUAGAAAGAAGGCUUAGUGCAUCAACCGCUGGCCAUGCAGAUGUAUCUAUGUCCAAAUCCCAUGCAAAUCACUGUUCUGUCUCUUCCCUGUGGGGUGAAAAACAACCAGCUGAAUCGGCUGAAGCUGGCGGGCCAACUACACGGUCACAAACAGAAACACUGGCUCACCGUCACAUGGAACGCUAGGGCUGCCCUCUGACGCCGACCCGCACACAUGCGUGCACGCCUCCCCGGUACAAAUACGUUUGCAAAAGGAAGAGAGAAUGAGAGAAAGAAAAUCUUUGGCCAGAGAGCACAGCCAUCUCUGGAGGGUCCCCUAUUUACUUAGGUUGCCUUCAGACAGGGAACCAGAAUUUGAGUCGGUCAGGGAACUGACCGGGAAGAGCUCCGAACUGAAUUGCCCAAAACAGAUUUCAAAUUCCAUCAUGGAUUUGCAUGCAGGGUUGAGUCCCCAGCUCUGCAUGAAUGCAAAUGGCAGACCCAGAUUUUCACCAGGAGGAAGAAGCUGGGUGAGAGCUUGUGACCUUCUGGUCCUGGGGGUGAGUCUCCUUCGGGAAGGGUAUCCUGACUUCCCAGGUGGUGUUGGAAUAUCACCUACCUUACUUUAGACAUGGUUCCGACUGUCAGAUGUGUCUCAGGGUACUAAAAUAGCCAUGUAGUUGCUUAGAAACCAAAGGUCCAAGAGAUCUCAGCAACGGCCGUUGAAUGAUUUGCUCAGUCCUGCGCUGAGAGCGUUAGAACAGCAGAGAAUCGGUACCAGAAGGACUGUGUGGACAGUGGAGAGGAAUGGGCAGGCAGCGGAGGGCAAGUGCAGCACAUUUUCUUCACUGAGCCAUUUCAAUGUGCUCUGAGGAAGCGGAUUCUCCGUGAAAUCCUAGCUCGGCUCCGGGGAGACAGCUCAGUCAACAAAGUGCUUGCCAUGCAAGCGUGACGAUGAAGUUCAAUCCUCAGACCCACAUAGAAACCAGGCAUGGUAGCAUGGGAAGACAGAGGUCCCUGGAAUCUAUUGGCCUACUUUAUUAGCCUGCCCUAAUCAGAAAGUCUCAGGAGAGAGAGAGAGAGAGAGAGAGAGAGAGAGAGAGAGAGAGAGAGAGAGAGAGAGAGACUCAAGAAACAAAACCAAACCGAAUCAAUGUAGAUGGAGUUAAAAUGGUGUCACUCUCUCAUCCUCAAGAGCGAUGAUACCGGAGGUUGCCCUGUGAUUUCCACAUGCCUGUGCUGCAUCACACGUGCACACACACACACACACACACACACACACACACACACACACACACACACAGAGCGCUCUGAGAAAGUGGCUUGGUUUUACUGAACCAGGGAGGCUUCUGGUCCUCUGUCUGUCCCUUGAGGAGCCUCACCUCAGACUGGAAGGGAAGCUCCUGUGCCUUUUCCCUUCAGAGAGUCGAGUCAGUGGAGCUGCAAAUUCUGACCUUCCUAAAGCAGACUUCCGGUGCUUCCUCACCGGGCUUCUCUCAGAAGUAAUUCUCAUUUCCUGGUCCUAACAUUGGCCCCAAAUAACAUGCUUUUGUAUAUAAGAGGGGAGCCAGGGCAGUCUUUUUCUUUUAAAAACAAAAAAGAUAAAACAAAAGUCAAAAAACCACAAAGUAAUUUUAAAUAACUCAAA